Molecule: long non-coding RNA, 604 nt
Filed under: Cyanistes caeruleus (blue tit)
Lineage: Eukaryota; Metazoa; Chordata; Aves; Passeriformes; Paridae
Description: lncRNA (ENSCCEG00000020822.1)
Source: RNAcentral
CUUUUUCAAACUUAAUGGAGGCCUGAGCCAAAACAUGCAACGGUGGUGACUGGAAUAAGCUUGAAUUCAGAGAAAACUCUUAUUACAUCCUGGGGACAGUCUAAUUUGUGAGAAGAGAAAGCAAGCUGCUGCUUUACUGGGAGAACAGCCUGAGAGCACAUUAUAGGGGCACUGGGAAUAUCAGAUGGAGGAUUGCCAGUUGUGGCGCAUCCCUGAUCAUUACAGAGCUAGUGAGCCUUUGCUAAUUGGUCCCAGCUAAGGCCCUGUGUUUUGCUUUACUUGAAACUGGCUUUGCACUUGUACUUUACUGCACUGCAAGACCACAUCAAGCAGCUGGGAGUCACGGUUGAAAGUGCUACUUGAGAUACCAUUGAGGAAAAAGUUUUCUGCAUAUUUUGGUGAAAUUCAGUUCAGACCCAGAAAACCUGAAGCUAUGCCCAGGCGCUGCUGACUCCAAGUGGUGAAGUAUGGAAUAAGGAUGGCUUCUGAUCAAUGGGUUCUGUGAUUACACAUUGUUGCUUCUUGACCUCUCUAAGUAAGCUUAUGAGACAGUAUUAGCACUUGUGAUGAGUGAAAUGGGGUUGGGGAAAAUGCAAAGGCGAGG